CCAGACUCCUACGGGAGGCAGCAGUGGGGAAUAUUGCACAAUAGGGGAAACCCUGAUGCAGCAACGCCGCGUGAGUGAGGAAGUAUUUCGGUAUGUAAAGCUCUAUCAGCAGGGAAUAGAAAAGAAGGUACCUGAAAAAGAAGCCCCGGCUAACUACGUGCCAGCAGCCGCGGUAAUACGUAGGGGGCAAGCGUUAUCCGGAUUUACUGGGUGUAAAGGGAGCGUAGACGGCAGCGCAAGUCUGGAGUGAAAUGCCGGGGCCCAACCCCGGAACUGCUUUGGAAACUGUGCAGCUGGAGUGCAGGAGAGGUAAGCGGAAUUCCUAGUGUAGCGGUGAAAUGCGUAGAUAUUAGGAGGAACACCAGUGGCGAAGGCGGCUUACUGGACUGUAACUGACGUUGAGGCUCGAAAGCGUGGGGAGCAAACAGGAUUAGAUACCCUAGUA
This 445-nucleotide ribosomal RNA is filed under the name uncultured bacterium. RNAcentral's name for it is "bacterial SSU rRNA". It matches the Rfam family "Bacterial small subunit ribosomal RNA", at positions 331 to 792 of the family's 1533-position model. The record is from RNAcentral.